AUGCUCGAGCUCGGGGUAGCUCCUCGCCGCGCCUCGGCCGCUGUGGAGAGAAGCGCCAAGUACCUCUUCGUCCCCUGCCUCCACGCACGCGACCACACAGCCUCUGGAUCGACUUCCCCGACCUGUCUUCUUCAUCCCCUUCCUGGUCAGAAGCCCCGACAAGUUCCCCGCGUCUCUGCAUCGUCUCCAUCACAUAUCCGGCCACACCAUCAUGUCUAG
RNAcentral lists this ribosomal RNA (219 nucleotides) under Triticum aestivum (bread wheat). RNAcentral describes it as "partial small subunit ribosomal RNA". The record is from RNAcentral. Lineage: Eukaryota; Viridiplantae; Streptophyta; Magnoliopsida; Poales; Poaceae.